Long non-coding RNA from Neodiprion virginianus, 1242 nucleotides. RefSeq lists it as uncharacterized. The record is from RefSeq and is a predicted model, not a curated record. NCBI's taxonomy places the organism in Eukaryota, Metazoa, Arthropoda, Insecta, Hymenoptera, Diprionidae. The transcript has 3 exons.
UUCAGAUGCUUCAUAGCUGAUGCUCCGGAUUGAUACCUUGGAGGUAUUCCAAGAGUUUGAAGAAGAUCCUGAAAGACAACGAUCUCUAAGACACUAUCUUAUUAACGUUGGUGGUGUCACAGCUAGAGAUGCUCUCAACCAAUUUCUGAAGGAAGCCAUGACGGGUAGCCUGACACAAAAAUUCUCUUGGACUGGAAAGUCUGUUUCAGAUAAAGAGAAUCUCCGACCGUUAUUUAAUACCUGUAUCGGAAAGGUAUUUUUUGAUGCCUUACGUGAGUGUUGAACAAUACCACAGCCACAUGAUCGUACAGAAUUUGCGAGACUGAUGCAAGAGGCAAUUCGGGGCGCACAAAAAAGAUUGCAAGAUGCAAAACGACGUGCCAUUCGCUCUGUCCAUGUGGAGGGUCGCAGACAAAAAUAUAUGGCUGAAAUGGCUCAUCGUUACGAGGUUGAACACCCAGGACAAUGACACUGCGGAAUAAGAGACCCACAAUUUGCCUAUUAAAGAUCCUACGUGUAUUCAAACAUACGUACCUAUGUACUUUGUUUGACUAAGAAAUAUUUUAGUACGUAUAGCUGUGAUGUUAGUUUUUAUGUUUAUGCUCAAGCAUAGUAUUUAUAAUUGGUACUGCAGCUGUGAUAUCCACAAGUGACAUGUAACUAUAUGUUUUCCAAUGAAACAUUAUACCUAUAUCAACAAAUGCGGCGGGUUUGUACUAACAUAGCUAACAUUUAGAUACUGUAGACGCUUUUGGUAUCUGGUAUAAAUUUUAGUCUUCUGACAUUUAUAUAAAGUAUUAAUUUUUAUUUUUUGAUUUCAAACACUUUAUUAUUAUCUACUGUUCUACUCAUUUGAUAUCAGUUUAUCAAUACUAUUAUAAACUGUAGUUAAUAAUUUUAAGCUACAACGUAUAAAAAUGUAACUAAAGACAUAUUUAUAUUAAUAACCGUACAACAGUAGAAGAGACCCUCUCUUCUAGUCUUGUUGUAGACAUAGAUUUGUGAGUCAGUGUUUUUCUUGUUCAUUUUUUCUCGCGAGUAACUGUAACACGUUUAUAACUAAUUAUCUUUAAGUAAAAGUAAAAAAUAUGCAGACUUAUAUUAUACCUAUAUAUGUAUAUGGGUGUAAUAUAUCAUAUAUUUUACUAUAGCCGCAUAUUAAUAAUAUAAAAUAUAAAUAUUAAUAUAAUUAUAUAGUAUAACGAUUAUAGUCAACGAAUGACCUGCCAUGUUCUGUGAUUU